This 1215-nucleotide long non-coding RNA is filed under the name Equus caballus (horse). Its description in RNAcentral is "lncRNA (ENSECAG00000056635.1)". The record is from RNAcentral. Lineage: Eukaryota; Metazoa; Chordata; Mammalia; Perissodactyla; Equidae.
AUGCAUUUAUCCAUUUAUUUAAUCAACCACUACUAACGCCUACUAAAGGCCAGACACUGCUCUAAGUACUUUACGGAUAGGAAAUAUCCUUUCACCUUUACACUCACCUAUGGACUGCGUAGUAUAAUCAUCCCCGUUUUACAGAUCAGGAAACUGACACACAGAAUGGUACAGUAACUUGCCCAAGUUCACACAGCCCGUAGGUGGCAGAGCUAGGACCCAUCUGACAGAGUCUGGCUCCAGAGUCCACGUUCCCAAUCACCACGCUUAGUCUCCAAAAACCUAGAGACAGCGCCAGCCUUAAUCGAAAAGUUUUGUUUUCCCCACCCUACAGUCCCUACGCGGCCCCAGUCUCCAGGGCACUCUUUCAGCUCCUCUGACAGGCCAUAAUCCUUCCUUGCCCUGUCCAAACACUCUCCCGCACAAGUCCUCCUUUUCUUUUAGGCAUCUGCUCUCAGCUUAAACAUCACUGCCUAAGUCACAAAGUCUAUCAGUAAAUGCUGUAUUUCUCAGCACCCAACACGAAAUAGUUUUUACGUAUCUCCUAGGUAAUGAGUUGCUGCCUAUCUGUCCUUUCCAACUAGGCUGUGAGGCCCAGUACGUCAAACACCCUGUCAGUCUUGCUCACCCAGUGUCCAGACCACUGAACACGCACCGACCAGAGGAAAGGAAGGACUUGUCCCAAAGUCAACUCUCCAGACUUUCUGUGGAAGGGGGGAACGAACGGAGCACCCUUGAGCCUCACGCUUUCUUUGCCAGACUUUCAGGUGGGGGACACAUACCUGUGCUCACAAUGCUCCCCGGACAGCCCCCACUGCACCCCUAACAGGUAGACUUCUGCACAGUCACGGGCUUUGGAAAGCACUGGCUCUGCACACGAAUAUUAUGUGGCCCUCGACAGGCCACUUCCCCUGAACCGGCCUGAGCUUCAGGGGCACAGCAGGCUUCAUGAAAACCCCAACGGAACGUAGCCUCUAAAAGAGGGAGACCUGCACUCCUCAGAACGCGUCGAGUCCAGUGUCCUUACCGACUUCGCGUCUGGCCUUCCAAGAAGCCAAGACCACGGGUGCCGCUUCAGCGCCCGACUCCCGGGCACCGCAUCCCCAGGCUGGCCCCUGGGCAGGUGCCCGGCACACACCGCCCGUUCCACGAACGCGUGAAGCGCCCGAAGAGACCCCCUCGCUCCCCGCGCCGCACAGCUAUCCCGCCACCUGA